Balaenoptera acutorostrata (minke whale) is the source of this 387-nucleotide long non-coding RNA. RefSeq lists it as uncharacterized. The transcript is spliced from 3 exons. The record is from RefSeq and is a predicted model, not a curated record. NCBI's taxonomy places the organism in Eukaryota, Metazoa, Chordata, Mammalia, Artiodactyla, Balaenopteridae.
CGCCCGUGGUCUGUGAAUGCUGACCAAAUGUUGACGAGUGUCUAAUGGCCUAACCUAUUGGCUCCAGCAGUAAUUGCCAGAACCUCUUUCCUCAUCUACCAAAUGGCCAUAGUGAUCGGCCCUUUCUGCAUCUCAGACUUCAUAUAAGAGAUCAUCAGCUGAAAACACCCCCAGCACAUGGACAGAAUCAACACAGCAUAGACAUUAUUUCAAUAUGCAAGUUUUGGACCCAGAUUGCCUGGAUUCAAAUCCUGACUUUGCCCCUUACUCACUGGGUUACUUUGGGCAAGUGACUUAACCUGUCUGUGACUCAGUUUUCCCAUAUGGAUUCCAUAUGGAUAAUAAUAGUAUCAACCUUAUAGGAUGCUGUGAGGGAGGAAAAUGUAC